RNAcentral lists this unclassified non-coding RNA (228 nucleotides) under plant metagenome. RNAcentral describes it as "partial contains small subunit ribosomal RNA, internal transcribed spacer 1, and 5.8S ribosomal RNA". The record is from RNAcentral.
UUUCCGUAGGUGAACCUGCGGAGGGAUCAUUACAGAGUUCAUGCCCUACCGGGUAGAUCUCCCACCCUAUGUUAUUAUUACUUUGUUGCUUUGGCGGGCCGUUAGGCUCCGGCCCGACUACCGGCCCCGGCUGGUAAGCGCCCGCCAGAGGACCCAAAACCCUGAAUAUUAGUGUCGUCUGAGUACUAUAUAAUAGUUAAAACUUUCAACAACGGAUCUCUUGGUUCU